AUUGAACGCUGGCGGCAGGCCUAACACAUGCAAGUCGAGCGGAGCGGGGGACGGGCGAGUAAGUACUAGGAAUCUGACUGGUAGUGGGGGAUAACGACCGGCAGCGGGCGGUAAUACAGAAUACUAUCAGAUGAGCCUGGCUAGGUUUAGCUAGUUGGUGGGGUAAAGGCUGACCAAGGCGACGGUCCGUAACUGGUCUGAGAGGAUGAUCAGUCACACUGGAACUGAGAAACGGUCCAGACUCCUACGGGAGGCAGCAGUGGGGAAUAUUGGACAAGGGGCGAAAGCCUGAUCCAGCCAUGCCGCGUGUGUGAAGAAGGUCUUCGGAUUGUAAAGCACUUUAAGUUGGGAGGCGUUACCAGCAGAAUAAGCACCGGCUAACUUCGUGCCAGCAGCCGCGGUAAUAC
This 407-nucleotide ribosomal RNA is filed under the name uncultured bacterium. RNAcentral describes it as "partial 16S ribosomal RNA". It matches the Rfam family "Bacterial small subunit ribosomal RNA", at positions 30 to 526 of the family's 1533-position model. The record is from RNAcentral.